This 125-nucleotide ribosomal RNA is filed under the name Lecanoraceae sp. RNAcentral's name for it is "partial small subunit ribosomal RNA". It matches the Rfam family "Eukaryotic small subunit ribosomal RNA", at positions 1657 to 1779 of the family's 1831-position model. The record is from RNAcentral. Lineage: Eukaryota; Fungi; Ascomycota; Lecanoromycetes; Lecanorales; Lecanoraceae.
CCUUUGUACACACCGCCCGUCGCUACUACCGAUUGAAUGGCUCAGUGAGGCCUUCGGACUGCCCCAGAGAGGUCGGCAACGACCACUCAGGGGCGGAAAGUUGGUCAAACUCGGUCAUUUAGAGG